Molecule: ribosomal RNA, 446 nt
Filed under: uncultured bacterium
Lineage: Bacteria
Description: bacterial SSU rRNA
Rfam family: Bacterial small subunit ribosomal RNA
Source: RNAcentral
GACGAACGCUGGCGGCGUGCCUAACACAUGCAAGUCGAACGAGAAUCUUUGAACAGAUCUUUUCGGAGUGACGUUCAAAGAGGAAAGUGGCGGACGGGCGAGUAACGCGUGAGUAACCUGCCCAUAAGAGGGGGAUAAUCCAUGGAAACGUGGACUAAUACCGCAUAUUGUAGUUAAGUUGCAUGACUUGAUUAUGAAAGAUUUAUCGCUUAUGGAUGGACUCGCGUCAGAUUAGAUAGUUGGUGAGGUAACGGCUCACCAAGUCAACGAUCUGUAGCCGAACUGAGAGGUUGAUCGGCCGCAUUGGGACUGAGACACGGCCCAGACUCCUACGGGAGGCAGCAGUGGGGAAUAUUGCGCAAUGGGGGAAACCCUGAUGCAGCGACGCCGCGUGGAGGAAGAAGGUCUUCGGAUUGUAAACUCCUGUUGUUGAGGAAGAUAAUGAC